Molecule: non-coding RNA, 1684 nt
Organism: Macaca mulatta (Rhesus monkey)
Lineage: Eukaryota; Metazoa; Chordata; Mammalia; Primates; Cercopithecidae
Source: RefSeq, a predicted model, not a curated record
GGAGUCUGCGCAGCCAGGGACCUGCAGAGGGCGGGGCUCCAGGGCCAUCGCGGCAGGCGGUCCCAGGGGGCGGGAAGAGCAGAGGGGGGCCUGUCGGGGAGACGCCAGAAAGGGAUUGGGGGCUGUGGACUGUGGAGGGAAGGAGCCGGGAGACCUGCCCUGGGGGCUAUGCUGGUGGGGGCCCCCAGGCCACAGGGGGAUUCCAGGAGUGGAGGGUGAGCUGGAGACCCAGUCUGAGGAGGGAGGAGCAGGCCCCUCAUAUGCUGAGGGGGGAGACUCGGUCCUCAACCCGGGAGGAUUCUGUUGGUCCAGAAGCUGUUGGUUGAGCUGCUGGGGCAGGACCCUGGGUGGACCCCAGGGUAAAGGGAAUGUAGCCAAAGCUUCAGGGGACCUCCACCCUCCAGGAGCUGUGCUCUGGGACAGACAGCACCCUGAAGAAUGUGCUGAUCCAAGGCACCCUCUGGGAUGAGCCGUAUCCACCGGGUUCUCGUGAGGCUGGUGUGAGGGUCCCGCAUUCUCUCAUUGAUGUCGGCAUUUCCUGUUAAAUCAGCAAGAUCUUUCCUCCUCUUCCAGAAGUUCCUGAAAAAAUAACGGGUGCCUCAUGGUGGGUUUUCACAAUCUUGAGGCUGCAGUCGCCCCUUAGGCCCCACACCCUGCACCCAGCAGGGUCUCAACCAGUGACUCCCCAGUCAGCAACCGGCCAGCAUGCAUUGGGCAGACGUGGCCUCUGCUCCACUCAGGGCCCAUUUCAGCCACCUCGAAGCCGACGCUGCAGUUCACCGCCACCUCCAAGGACACAGCCCACCUUUUCCAGGCUGCGCCGGGACCUCCGCAGACCAGACCUCCUUCAGAGGCGCGGGCCCACAUGCAUGGAAAACGCCCUCCUACUGACACAGAACACCGAGAUUACACUCCGGGCCCGUCUGGACACCCGGGAUUAUCUCUGCGUUUUAGACGCUUCAAGGAACCACGUUUGCAGGCGCUCACCACGUGAGGCGACAGGCACAGGCCUGGACAGGACGGAGGGCAUCUUCGGGAGGCUUUCCUCCCCUCUCACUCCACUUUUCCCUCAGGACACCUGUGCUGCUGUUGCUGUAAAUCCUAAUUCCCCAGAAAUAUGUGAAACCCUGUAACAUGAUUGUUUUAUGCGGUUACGAUUCAUUAGGUUUGUACACAAUAUACCCUUUCUGUUGCUUUUGUUGGGGCUCAGAAAAUGACACCCGGAGUGAAGGCCUUGGAAGCCAGGCCUUCUCCUGCCCCCUGUCUCUGGCCCCUUAUUCUCCGAGGCAGGUCGUAGAAACCUGAACCCCUUUUCCCCAUAAACCUAAAGCCAGCCAUAAACCUAAAAGUACGACUCUAAUAACUUUCCUGUAUUUCUGUGUAAAAACUGGCCAUAAAGGAAUUCUCUGGCCUGCCUUGUUUGACUGCAGGUGUUCAGACCCCUAUUCCGGGGGAUUGUGCCCCCACCCAGCAAGAAGGAGAGCUGCAGAGAGAGGCUGCCAGGAACCGAAGCACACGGGCCUCACUGGGCCCCCCGGGAGUCUGUUAGCCUGUCAGGUCUUAACCUUUCGUCCAAUCCUAUUUCCAGACUUCACAGAGCCUGAGUAUAAAAUGCAGUUUCCCCUGCGCCUUUAGGUCUUUGCUCUGAAAGCUCCAGUGUCACAUAAAACUACAAUCCAAGAAA